This 444-nucleotide ribosomal RNA is filed under the name uncultured prokaryote. RNAcentral describes it as "bacterial SSU rRNA". It matches the Rfam family "Bacterial small subunit ribosomal RNA", at positions 355 to 796 of the family's 1533-position model. The record is from RNAcentral.
UAGGGAAUAUUGGUCAAUGGGCGCAAGCCUGAACCGGCCAUGCCGCGUGCAGGAUGACGGCCCUCAGGGUUGUAAACUGCUUUUAUAUGGGAAUAAAAAAGUCCUUGCGAGGACUCUUGAAGGUACCAUAAGAAUAAGCACCGGCUAACUCCGUGCCAGCAGCCGCGGUAAUACGGAGGGUGCGAGCGUUGUCCGGAUUUAUUGGGUUUAAAGGGUGCGUAGGCGGUUAUUUAAGUCAGUGGUGAAAACCCUGAGCUCAACUGAGGGCUUGCCAUUGAUACUGGGUAACUUGAUUACCGUAUAGGUAGGCGGAAUUUAUGGUGUAGCGGUGAAAUGCAUAGAUACCAUAAAGAACACCGAUAGCGAAGGCAGCUUACUGGACGUGUAAUGACGCUGAUGCACGAAAGCGUGGGUAGCGAACGGGAUUAGAUACCCCGGUAGUCC